CUUGUUGAAAUUUUAGGGUAGAAUCUAAAUUUUAAGAAGUGAUAGGUAGUAAUAGUCAUGAAAUUUAUUUUAAGGACCAGGAUUAGAUACCCUGUUACUUUUAGUUAAGAAACUUUGGAAUAAUAGUAUUGAUGAAAUUUAACGGAUUUGGCGGCAAGAUAGCCCCUUAGAGGAACCUGCCCUGUAAACGAUGAGCCACGAGUACUUUACUUUCUUUAGUAAUUCAGUUUGUAUAUCGCUGUUGUCAGUUAGAUUUUAGAAAAUAUUUUCACUCAUGAUAAAGUCAUUGACUUCAAGUAAAGGUGCAGCUUAUAAGGAAGAUAGAGGUGGGUUACAUUUAUUAGAUUAAAACGGAUUAGAAAGGAGAAUAAUUCUAUGAAGGUGGAUUUAACAGUAAAGCUUAAUAAAGUUUGAUUAGAGCUCUAUCUUGUGUACACACCGCCCGUCGCUCUCUUUUUUAAAAC
RNAcentral lists this ribosomal RNA (464 nucleotides) under Tetraclitella darwini. RNAcentral's name for it is "partial 12S ribosomal RNA". The record is from RNAcentral. Lineage: Eukaryota; Metazoa; Arthropoda; Thecostraca; Balanomorpha; Tetraclitidae.